Molecule: ribosomal RNA, 497 nt
Filed under: uncultured bacterium
Lineage: Bacteria
Description: partial 16S ribosomal RNA
Rfam family: Bacterial small subunit ribosomal RNA
Source: RNAcentral
GAUGAACGCUGGCGGCGUGCCUAAUACAUGCCAGUCGAGCGAACAGACGAGGAGCUUGCUCCUCUGACGUUAGCGGCGGACGGGUGAGUAACACGUGGAUAACCUACCUAUAAGACUGGGAUAACUUCGGGAAACCGGAGCUAAUACCGGAUAAUAUAUUGAACCGCAUGGUUCAAUAGUGAAAGACGGUUUUGCUGUCACUUAUAGAUGGAUCCGCGCCGCAUUAGCUAGUUGGUAAGGUAACGGCUUACCAAGGCAACGAUGCGUAGCCGACCUGAGAGAGGGAUCGGCCACACUGGAACUGAGACACGGUCAAGACUCCUACGGGAGGCAGCAGUAGGGAAUCUUCCGCAAUGGGCGAAAGCCUGACGGAGCAACGCCGCGUGAGUGAUGAAGGUCUUCGGAUCGUAAAACUCUGUUAUUAGGGAAGAACAAAUGUGUAAGUAACUAUGCACGGCUUGACGGUACCUAAUCAGAAAGCCACGGCUAACUACGUG